RNAcentral lists this ribosomal RNA (468 nucleotides) under uncultured bacterium. RNAcentral describes it as "partial 16S ribosomal RNA". It matches the Rfam family "Bacterial small subunit ribosomal RNA", at positions 28 to 507 of the family's 1533-position model. The record is from RNAcentral.
GACGAACGCUGGCGGCGGGCUUAACACAUGCAAGUCGAACGGAAAGGCCCUGCUUUUGUGGGGUGCUCGAGUGGCGAACGGGUGAGUAACACGUGAGUAACCUGCCCUUGACUUUGGGAUAACUUCAGGAAACUGGGGCUAAUACCGGAUAGGAGCUCCUGCUGCAUGGUGGGGGUUGGAAAGUUUCGGCGGUUGGGGAUGGACUCGCGGCUUAUCAGCUUGUUGGUGGGGUAGUGGCUUACCAAGGCUUUGACGGGUAGCCGGCCUGAGAGGGUGACCGGCCACACUGGGACUAAGAGACGGCCCAGACUCCUACAGGGGGCAGCAGUGGGGAAUAUUGCACAAUGGGCGGGAGCCUGAUGCAGCGACGCCGCGUGCGGGAUGACGGCCUUCGGGUUGUAAACCGCUUUCGCCUGUGACGCAGCGUGAGUGACGGUAAUGGGUGAAGAAGCACCGGCUAACUACGUG